Molecule: ribosomal RNA, 2890 nt
Rfam family: Bacterial large subunit ribosomal RNA
UUAAGUGACUAAGCGUACACGGUGGAUGCCUUGGCAAUCAGAGGCGAUGAAGGACGUGCUAACCUGCGAAAAGGGUUGGUGAGCUGGUAAGAAGCGUUAUAGCCAACCAUGUCCGAAUGGGGAAACCCACUCACUUUAGUGAGUAUCUCAUGCUGAAUACAUAGGCAUGUAGAGGCGAACCCGGGGAACUGAAACAUCUAAGUACCCGGAGGAAAAGAAAUCAACCGAGAUUCCCUAAGUAGCGGCGAGCGAACGGGGAUUAGCCCUUAAGUUUGAUAUGAGCAAGUGGAACGGUCUGGAAAGUCCGGCAAUAGAGGGUGAUAGCCCCGUACACGUAAGCGAAUAUUGAAUGAAAUCGAGUAGGUCGGGACACGUGGUAUCUUGACUGAACAUGGGGGGACCAUCCUCCAAGGCUAAAUACUCCUGAUUGACCGAUAGUGAACCAGUACCGUGAGGGAAAGGCGAAAAGAACCCCUGUGAGGGGAGUGAAAUAGAACCUGAAACCGUGUACGUACAAGCAGUGGGAGCAUCCUUCGGGGUGUGACUGCGUACCUUUUGUAUAAUGGGUCAGCGAGUUACUUUCAGUGGCGAGGUUAACCGAAUAGGGGAGCCGUAGGGAAACCGAGUCUUAACUGGGCGAAUAGUCGCUGGGAGUAGACCCGAAACCCGGUGAUCUAGCCAUGGGCAGGUUGAAGGUUGAGUAACAUCAACUGGAGGACCGAACCCACUAACGUUGCAAAGUUAGGGGAUGACCUGUGGCUGGGGGUGAAAGGCCAAUCAAACCGGGAGAUAGCUGGUUCUCCCCGAAAGCUAUUUAGGUAGCGCCUCGGACGAAUACUAUUGGGGGUAGAGCACUGUUUCGGCUAGGGGGUCAUCCCGACUUACCAACCCGAUGCAAACUCCGAAUACCAAUAAGUACUAUCCGGGAGACACACAGCGGGUGCUAACGUUCGUUGUGGAGAGGGAAACAACCCAGACCGCCAGCUAAGGUCCCAAAGUUAUCACUAAGUGGGAAACGAUGUGGGAAGGCCCAGACAGCCAGGAUGUUGGCUUAGAAGCAGCCAUCAUUUAAAGAAAGCGUAAUAGCUCACUGGUCGAGUCGGCCUGCGCGGAAGAUGUAACGGGGCUAAGUGAUACACCGAAGCUGCGGCAGCAUACUAGUUAUGCUGGGUAGGGGAGCGUUCUGUAAGCCUGUGAAGGUGGAUUGAGAAGUCUGCUGGAGGUAUCAGAAGUGCGAAUGCUGACAUGAGUAACGAUAAUGGGGGUGAAAAACCUCCACGCCGAAAGACCAAGGGUUCCUGUCCAACGUUAAUCGGGGCAGGGUGAGUCGACCCCUAAGGCGAGGCCGAAAGGCGUAGUCGAUGGGAAACAGGUUAAUAUUCCUGUACUCGCUGUAAUUGCGAUGGAGGGACGGAGAAGGUUAGGUGGGCCAGGCGUUGGUUGUCCUGGUGAAAGUGCGUAGGCUGAGUGUUUAGGUAAAUCCGGACGCUCAUUAGGCUGAGACACGAGACGAACAUCCUACGGGAUGGAAGCCAUUGAUACCCUGCUUCCGGGAAAAGCUUCUAAGCUUCAGAUUACAGAGAAUCGUACCCCAAACCGACACAGGUGGUCGGGUAGAGAAUACCAAGGCGCUUGAGAGAACUCGGGUGAAGGAACUAGGCAAAAUAGUACCGUAACUUCGGGAGAAGGUACGCCGCUGAUGGUGAAGUCCCUUGCGGAUGGAGCUGUCGGUGGUCGCAGUGACCAGGUGGCUGGGACUGUUUAUCAAAAACACAGCACUGUGCAAACUCGAAAGAGGACGUAUACGGUGUGACACCUGCCCGGUGCCGGAAGGUUAAUUGAUGUCGUUAUCCCUCGGGAGAAGCGGUUGAUCGAAGCCCCGGUAAACGGCGGCCGUAACUAUAACGGUCCUAAGGUAGCGAAAUUCCUUGUCGGGUAAGUUCCGACCUGCACGAAUGGUGUAACCAUGGCCACGCUGUCUCCACCCGAGACUCAGUGAAAUUGAAAUCGCUGUGAAGAUGCAGUGUACCCGCGGCUAGACGGAAAGACCCCGUGAACCUUUACUACAGCUUGGCACUGAACAUUGAGCCUGCAUGUGCAGGAUAGGUGGGAGGCUUCGAAGCGGUAACGCCAGUUAUCGUGGAGCCAUCCUUGAAAUACCACCCUUGCAUGUUUGAUGUUCUAACCUCGGUCCAUUAUCUGGAUUAGGGACAGUGUCUGGUGGGUAGUUUGACUGGGGCGGUCUCCUCCCAAAGAGUAACGGAGGAGCACGAAGGUGGGCUAAGUACGGUCGGACAUCGUACGGUUAGUGCAAUGGCAUAAGCCCGCUUAACUGCGAGACAGACACGUCGAGCAGGUACGAAAGUAGGUCAUAGUGAUCCGGUGGUUCUGAAUGGAAGGGCCAUCGCUCAACGGAUAAAAGGUACUCCGGGGAUAACAGGCUGAUACCGCCCAAGAGUUCAUAUCGACGGCGGUGUUUGGCACCUCGAUGUCGGCUCAUCACAUCCUGGGGCUGGAGCAGGUCCCAAGGGUAUGGCUGUUCGCCAUUUAAAGUGGUACGCGAGCUGGGUUCAGAACGUCGUGAGACAGUUCGGUCCCUAUCUGCCGUGGGCGUUGGAUGAUUGAGAGGAGUUGCUCCUAGUACGAGAGGACCGGAGUGAACACACCUCUGGUGUUCGGGUUGUCACGCCAGUGGCACUGCCCGGUAGCUACGUGUGGAACUGAUAACCGCUGAAAGCAUCUAAGCGGGAAGCAGGCCUCAAGAUGAGUCAUCCCUAAGACUAUAAGUCUUCUGAAGGGCCGUCCGAGACUAGGACGUUGAUAGGCAGGGUGUGUAAGCGUUGUGAGGCGUUGAGCUAACCUGUACUAAUGACCCGAGAGGCUUAACCAU